This 336-nucleotide unclassified non-coding RNA is filed under the name soil metagenome. RNAcentral describes it as "partial contains 5.8S ribosomal RNA, internal transcribed spacer 2, and large subunit ribosomal RNA". The stretch from base 1 to 120 matches the Rfam family "5.8S ribosomal RNA", at positions 35 to 154 of the family's 154-position model. The record is from RNAcentral.
GAUGAAGAACGUAGCGAAAUGCGAUAAGUAGUGUGAAUUGCAGAAUUCAGUGAAUCAUCGAAUCUUUGAACGCACAUUGCGCCCCUUGGUAUUCCAUGGGGCAUGCCUGUUCGAGCGUCAUUUGUACCCUCAAGCUUUGCUUGGUGUUGGGUGUUUGUCCCGCGUUGCGCGUGGACUCGCCUUAAAGCGAUUGGCAGCCGGCAUAUUGGCCUUGGAGCGCAGCACAUUUUGCGCUUCUAGUCAUGAAUGUUGGCGUCCAUUAAGCCUAUACAUUUGCUCUUGACCUCGGAUCAGGUAGGGAUACCCGCUGAACUUAAGCAUAUCAAUAAGCGAGGA